AACGGAGGGGGCGAGCGUUAUUCAUCCUUAUUGGGCGUAAAGGGUAUGUAGGUACUGAAAAAUUUUUGUUGAAAAACUUCAAAUUUACCUUUUGAAAGCACAAUAAAAAUUAAUAAAUUUGAGAUAUGUUAGGGGUUGGCGGAAUUACUAAAGUAAAGGUAAAAUCUUACGAUCUUAGUACGAACACCAAAGGCGCAGGCAGCUUUCUCAAGUAUCUGACACUGAGGUACUAAAGCAUGGGGAUCAAACGGG
Molecule: ribosomal RNA, 252 nt
Filed under: uncultured bacterium
Lineage: Bacteria
Description: partial 16S ribosomal RNA
Rfam family: Bacterial small subunit ribosomal RNA
Source: RNAcentral